UGAGUAACCUGCCCUUAACUCUGGGAUAAGCCUGGGAAACUGGGUCUAAUACCGGAUAUGACUCCUCAUCGCAUGGUGGGGGGUGGAAAGCUUUUUGUGGUUUUGGAUGGACUCGCGGCCUAUCAGCUUGUUGGUGAGGUAAUGGCUCACCAAGGCGACGACGGGUAGCCGGCCUGAGAGGGUGACCGGCCACACUAGGACUGAGACACGGCCAGACUCCUACGGGAGGCAG
This 232-nucleotide ribosomal RNA is filed under the name uncultured bacterium. RNAcentral's name for it is "partial 16S ribosomal RNA". It matches the Rfam family "Bacterial small subunit ribosomal RNA", at positions 118 to 351 of the family's 1533-position model. The record is from RNAcentral.